GCUUAGCUCAGCAGCUAAAAGCACCUGCUUUCCACACAGAAGGUCCCAGGUUCAAAUCCCCGGCAUCUGCA
Podarcis lilfordi (Lilford's wall lizard) is the source of this 71-nucleotide non-coding RNA. The record is from the annotation of a GenBank genome assembly. Lineage: Eukaryota; Metazoa; Chordata; Lepidosauria; Squamata; Lacertidae.